GAUGAACGCUAGCUACAGGCUUAACACAUGCAAGUCGAGGGGCAGCAUGAUUGAAGCUUGCUUCAAUUGAUGGCGACCGGCGCACGGGUGAGUAACGCGUAUCCAACCUUCCGUACACUCAGGGAUAGCCUUUCGAAAGAAAGAUUAAUACCUGAUGGUAUGAUGAGAUUGCAUGAUAACAUCAUUAAAGAUUUAUCGGUGUACGAUGGGGAUGCGUUCCAUUAGGUAGUAGGCGGGGUAACGGCCCACCUAGCCUACGAUGGAUAGGGGUUCUGAGAGGAAGGUCCCCCACAUUGGAACUGAGACACGGUCCAAACUCCUACGGGAGGCAGCAGUGAGGAAUAUUGGUCAAUGGACGAGAGUCUGAACCAGCCAAGUAGCGUGAAGGAUGAAGGUCCUACGGAUUGUAAACUUCUUUUAUAAGGGA
RNAcentral lists this ribosomal RNA (427 nucleotides) under uncultured bacterium. RNAcentral describes it as "bacterial SSU rRNA". It matches the Rfam family "Bacterial small subunit ribosomal RNA", at positions 28 to 445 of the family's 1533-position model. The record is from RNAcentral.